CUGAUUCUGGGCAAUUCGAUAUGCCUGGAGAAUGAGAAGUUAUUCGGGAAACUGAACAUCUGAAAAUCAAUUAAGACACGAGCACUCAGUUGAAGAAAAUUAUCUGUGAGCAAGUUGACGAUAGAAGCAUAACUCAGAUGUUAAUGUAAGAGAAAUUGCUUAUGCACAUUUCCAAAUAAGAUGAUAAGCUGAAAUCACUUUUCCGCUAGCAUUUUCUCUCUUCUGCCAUCGUGAGGCACUGUUAGAAUGAUGACAGUGGUUCUACUUUCUCCAAUGUAGUAAACUCAAACGACCUCAUAUCAUUCUCUGAACCUGAAUUAGAAGAAAUGCUGGAAGACAUCAGUCGAAGUACACCAAGUUCUGGCUCGGGUUGUGAAGACAGUAGCAUGAAAACAGAAACUUUAGGAAGAGAUGGCAGUGAAAUUCAUUUCUCUACAGUUGUUUUGAGUGAAUCUUAAAUCUGGAUUUCAAAACCUUUUUCCAUUAAAUAACUUUUCUUUUCUUUAAAAUCUCAUCCUUAAGGCUAUGUUUGGUUCCCGGAAAAUUUGAGGGAAAAUGCGAGGGAAAGAAAAUGCAAAGGAAAAGUAGAAGGAAAGAAAAAGUGAAGGAAAAUAAAAAAAAUAGAUUAAAAGUUGAUAAAUUAUUUUUUUUGUUACUUCAAACUCAUUUUAUUUAUUUUAACUCAUCAAUAUAAAGAUUAAAUAAUUUAAAAAUAUAUAAGUUUUUAAUUAGUUUUAAUUAUAUUUGAUUUUCUUUGAUAUUUUUCAUAGGACAACCAAACAUGAGAAAAUCAUUUUCCUUAGCAUUUUUUUUCUUUCCUUUGUACUUUCCGGGAACCAAACAUAGCCUAAGAGUUUCUAGGCAUAAAAUCUAGAUUUUUAAUAAACUCUUUGCUAUCAUUUCCCUUCCAGCAUGCCUUUUCAUCAUUUUCAACUAAUUUUCACGAUUUUUCUCGUUUUUUUCAACAAAUAUGAAUAAACUUCAUGAUUCCAAAUAAUGGAAUUCAUAGAAUCAACUCAUGCAAAAUUCAUUAGGGCUUUGGUGGGGGCCCGACAUCCAUGAAAUUUUCUUCAAUAUAGCUUGUUUGAUAUUUGGUUGAUUGUGUUUCCUCUUUGUGGCAUAUAUGAGAUUAUUUUACACAUGUUAUUGAGCUAACCUUGUUUUCUAUUCUAGUGCUAAGCUCAUUGUCCAGGUACGCUCUCCAUGACCCCAUCCUCAAAAUUCCACGAAUAUCCAUGUCUUUGUGUACUAUGCCCUUGUUUGGUGUCAUGCUUGAAUGUCUUGAUAUAUGUUUCAUUGUUCGAUUAUCUAUGAUAAAAUGCAUGUUGGGUGAUAUAUUAUCUAAACUAACCAUUGAUGUUUUAUGAUAGCGCUUAAGAAGUGGUUCAGGUAUGCCCCCUAACUCUCCUUUAUUGUGAUUUGAUCCUGUUUGGCAUGUUAUUUUUUGUAAUCACCUUAGUCAACCUAGGUAUCCUUAGUUAAUCAAUUAACUGCCACAUCUCUCUCAACUUAGUCAAUAGAGACCUUUGUAAUACUUAGAGGAGUGCUACCUCCUAGAGGUACCUUCCCAAUAAGUAACCCGAUCCCUGGACUUAGACUCGGGUUUUUCAAAGACACGUUUUUCCAAAAAUUAUGGAGUCAUUUUUUUAGGGUUUUAUUUCUUGUUUUAUUUUCCCUUUAAAAUAAAAAUAAAAUAAGUGGCGACUCUGACUUUUCCAAAAAUUAAUUUUUCACCAAAUAAAAGCAAGUCUCGCCGAUUGAGUGGAGGCGCACGUGAAAAAUGCGGGUCCACACAUGCCUAUUAAAACAUUUUGUUUUGAUAAUCCUUUUGAGGUCUUAUAUUUUUCUGUUUCCAAUUUUUCUGAGAAUAAUGGGAUUAUUUACCAGACAUCUUUCUAUGACACUCCAUAGCAAAAUGGAACGGCAAAGAGAAGAAAUAGACACCUUUUGAAAGUUGCCCUUUUACUGUUUUUUCAUAUGCAAGUUCCAAAAAGAUUUUGGGGCAAUGUUGUCCUUACUGCUUGUUUUCUCAUUAAUCCUCUUCCAUCCAAUGCCCUUAAUAAUCAAUCACCAUUUUGCUAUUUUAUAUCUAUAUCUUUCUUUGUUUUUUGUUUUUUAUUUAUUUUUAUUUUGUUUUUGGUUUUUGUUUUUUGUUUCUUUUCCUUCCUUUUCUUCAUGAAUAUUUGCAUGUGUUGCUUUAUGCAUUAUGUGGCUACAAGUUCAAAUACGCUCUCUUUGGACCACAAAGUGCAUCUUCCUUGGGUAUUCCAAACUUAAAAAAUGAUACAAAUGUUUUGAUCCCACUUUAGGAAUAUACUUAAUUAGUGCAAAUGCAACAAUUUUUUUAGUGUCCCUUGUUUUUUCUUUUAGAGGGUUGACUCCUGAUAUACAACUCUUGUUUUCACCUUCAAAUCCUCCUCUUUUCAUUAUUCCUCUACCUAAAUUGGUUAUGUCAUCAACUCCCACUGUUCACGUGUCUAAGAAACUUUUGAAGCCUAUACAAGAAGGAAAGUGGCCACGAUUAAGAUUACUUCGCUAGUGGAGCAACCCACCAUUACAAUAGAGGUUUAUCUCCUAUAACUAAUCCGUUGACUUAAUUUGAUCCAUCUCCUCGCCAUUGCUCUUUGAACAAGUAAUAGAACUGCUAGUCAAUAUACUUUUUUUAUUUUUUUAUUUAUUUUUUAUUAGAAACAAAAUAGAUGUAUUAAUGGAGAAAAGAAAUAUGAGAAGGAAAUCCUUCCCAUGAAGUACAAGUGUGAUCAAAAGAACUAAAUAAACCUCCACUAACCAAGGAAGGUUAUAAAAAAUGUACAAAAGGCCGCUUGAUCAAAAUAACUAAGUAAACCUCCACUAAACCAAGGAGGGCUAUACAAAAGGAACAAAAGGCCUAUACAAGCAAAAGAAUCUUGACCCUAUAAACCCAACCCUAAGGUGUACAUAACGGAAGCCAUCCAAGCCGGAUUACACUCAGAAAGAAACAUAAAAAUAAAGUUGAUCCCACAUCAUCUCUGGCAUCUGCCAAAUGUCCUUAAAAACCCUAGCAUUUUUCUCUCUCCACACAAUCCACAACAGAGAGAGACAUGUGAUCCUCCAAAGGGUCUUACCUCUAAUAGAAUUCCCAAAACACUUGAGGAAAUCACCAACAUAUCACAAAUACUACUAAGCUGAACCCACUCCAUCCCAGACCUUGAUUUUUCCCAUUUUUCUUGUCUUUUCUCAAUCUUUUAUUUUGUCUUUAUCGACUAUUGUCAUUCUUAAGACUUAUCAGGGGCCUCUCUCUCAUCAUGGUUGGAAAGUUGCUAUAAAAAGGGGAGAUGACUACUUCAUGUAAUUGUGGCACAUGGGAUUUAACUACUUUAAAAUAAGGGAAAAAAAUUGUUGGUUGCAGGUGGAUUUUUGCUGUUAAACACCAUGUAAAUGAUGCCAUUGAAAGGUUAAAAGCACAACUACUUUGAAACUUUUUCACCGGUGGCUAGACUCAAUUCAAUAUGCUUGUUAAUUUCGUUGGUUAUUCAUUUUUAUUGGAAUUUAUCCUAACUUAAUGUCAAAAUUGCAUUUUUAUACAAUGAUAUACAAGAAAUCAUUUUUUCCCCCUUUUGAUGGCCAAAUGAGAUUAUAUUAAAAGUUCCAAACAAAAAAGGGGCGCACACCUAGAAUACAAGAAGUAUAUAUCUAAAAGGCAAAAAGAAACAACAAACAAGCACAACCACAUUCUAAUUACUUUGAACACAACCGCCUAGGCUUGUUGCUCAAGUGGAGUUAAGAAAGGUGUGUAAGUUGAAGAAAGUCAUAUAUGUGCUGAAACACUCCCCUUGGGCAUCUUUAGAUAAGCUUUGUAGAGUACUAGUCUCUCUUGGCUUUUCUAGAUGCCAUUAAGAUCAUCUAAUCUUUGUGAAAAAUACAAUUAAGUACAUUGGUUCUAAUUAUUCAUGUUGACGGUAUACUCAUGUAUGGCAAUACUUUGAGUGUGAUUGAAGAGUUAAAAACACAGUUGAAUAAUACAUUUUAAACUAAAAACCUGGGUUGCUUAGAUAUUUAUUGGGCAUUGAAGUUGCUCUUAUUGGUUUUGUCUCAAAAGAAAAUAUAUGUAAGAUUUAUUAAGACUAGUAUGCUAUGAUCUAAACCUAUAAAUACACCUAUGAAUCCUAAUAUGACAAGGUAGCUUGUGUAGAUUAUGUUGAUACAAGAAGAAUAGAUGUCGCAUUGGAAAACUCAAGUAUUAGACUAUGACUUAUCCUAAUAUUACCUUUGUUAUAGGUUAUCAGUCAAUAUAAGGAGAGUCCUCAAGAAGUGCAUUGGGAUGCCUUUAGUUGCAUUCUUAGAUAUCUAAAAGGGAUAGUUUGAAUGGGUAUUUUAUAUAAGAAGAGCACUAAACUUAACAUUUUCAAUUAUUCAUCUGUUGAUUAGGUUGGUUCUAAAUCUAACAAGCAAUCUACUAGUGGGUAUUGGUAUUGUACUUUUGUGGAAGGGUAUAUGAUAACAUGGAAAAGCAAGAAGCAAAAUGUUGUGGCCAAAUAUAGCACUAAGGCUGAGGCAGAGUAUCAUGCUAUGGCCCGUGCUGCUUGUAAGCUCAUGUGAAUAAAAAACCUUAUCAAGGAAUUCUAUGUUGAAACUAAGAAGCCUACGAUUAUGUUUUGUGAUAAUCAAGUCGCUAAAAGUAUUGCAAGUAAUCUUAUGUUUCAUGAGCACACUAAACAUAUUAAGGCGGAUUGUCAUUUCAUUUGGAAAGUAAUGAUGAUAAGUUAUGUGAUCACUUCUUAUGUUAGAAGAGAAAACCAACUUGGAGACAUAUUUACCAAGGUCAUUUUCCAAAAAUCUGUUUUUAUAUAUCUGUUCCAAGCCUGGAAUUGAAUAUUUCUUUACUCCAUCUUGAGGGGGAGUGUAAAAGAUUAUUUGAGUGUCUAUUAUUGUAUUUUGAGUGUCAGGAUUAUUAUAGGGCUGUUUUAUUUUAUUAUUUUCUAAUUAAUAAAAAAAAAAAAGGGAGAGGCACAUUACUUCACUCAUUUCUUGUUCUUUAACAACACUAAUGCAAAAAACUCUUGCAGAUUAGUUACAUUGUCAAGGCUUCCAUCUCCCAUUGUUUCAUCCUUAUCAUUUAUUUUCCUUAUGGAUUGCAAAGACAUGUAUAUUAUGCACACACCCCUGUAGACAAGAACAUCCAUAAUCAGCCACAUUAAAGUCCUUUUCCAAUCAAUUUUCCGCACACAAAACCAUGAUGGCAAAUUAAGAGUUCAGGAGUGCAACCAGAGAAUAUACUCAAUCAAUAUUCUGAAAAGUUCAAGAAUGAAAUUUUGGUGGGGGAAGUUUCCUUACAUGUUUGAAUUUAUAAAGGACAACAGUAAGUUAUUUGGAAUAAUAAAGUAGUUUCACAAAUAAAUCCAGAACCAUUUGAAUAGCUAAAUGAGAUUUCAUUUAGCCAAUUGCAGGCAUGUGCCAAACUAUCACCCAGAAAAACUAGAGAGCUCAAAAACACAUGGCUAUCCCUAUGCUAGGUUAUUAGCCAGAAAAAAACAAAAAAUUAACAAUAUUUAUCGACAUUACAAACUCAUUUUAUGGAAUAAAAAAUAACAAAAGAUACCAAUUUCAUUUCUUGAGUUCAAUGCAGUUAAGAAAAAUUAUAUAAUGGUACAAUAAGAAGGAAAAUACACUACUCUGUAAAUAUUAAAUUUUAAACAAACAGAAAAAUCACUUAAAUAAAUCCAAGAAAUAGAAAUAGAGCUAAGAAGGUAAUGGCAUCCUUAAAAAGUGUGCCUUGAUAUGAGCAUAAUAACAAACAACAAAACCACUUGAAUAAAACCUUGAAGAACAAGGGAUUGAAAGAAGGGAAUCAAAUCCCGUAGGUUUAAAGCUACAUUCAAAGAAUCAGUGUUAAGACAAUUAGUAUGAGCUCCCAUCUUCAUAAUGAUACUGGAAUUUUGUGGGAAGGACAUUUCAUCCUUCUCUUGAACUAUACUAUUAUCAAUAUAUAUUUUGUUUAUGAUAAAAAUAAAUAAAUAAGGAUACUGGUGACUCAUGCCCAAUUGGUGUCUCAGCUGAUUUGUGUUCAGCUGGUGCUCCUUGAUUGAGGAAGUGAUCAACAAAAUUUAUACCUAUAACACCAUACACUAGGGUAGCAAAUACAAAGCUACUAUAGUAUAGUGGCUCUAAGGAUCGUUCACUGGGAAUGAUUUGCAAGCAAUCAAGGAUACCAAUUCCAAGUGAAUUGGUUUUGUUUCAUUUCACGGUUAGUUUAAGAAAUAAAACACAAACUUUGAUUGGUAAAGGUUGAGACUUAAACUAACUAACUUAACAGAAGUUUGGAAUAAUUUAGGAAGAAAAGCAUUCCUUGGAGAUUUAGGUUCACUGGGGUGGUUCCUCAUGCAAAAGACAUAGCUCCGGUCAGAUGGUUCAUUUCCUCGCAUUAGAGAUUCAACUUAUAGUCAAUUCUCUAACCGGUGAUGUACAGAGACUCCUUCAAUUAGAUUUCACUUUAAUUCUCUCACUGAUACAACUUGCAAUGGUUCAUGCCUCUCACGAGCACUUACCAUUCAAGGUGAUCUUUAACCUUGGACUUCCCUUCACAAACUCGCAAGAGAUAACUAAUGGAUGUCUCCUAGGAGUCCAAAAGCUUACCAAGUGUUGGUAAUUCCAGAAAAUCCUACCUUGAAGUCACCUACCAGAGGCUCGCAAGGGGUAAACUAGUGCAUUUCCACGGUUGGAAAUCACUUGCCUUACCAAGUGUUGGCCCAGGUGACUCUAAGAUGUUUUAAGUUAACUAAAAACAUUGAAAUCACUGAAGGAUUUCACUUCCUCUUCAUUAAAAACUAAAACCACGGAGCUUUGCAUUCUUGCACUUGGAACCUUCCCCGGCAACCUUAGCUCCAAGGAAUUGGAGGUUUAGUUACUCAUUCUCUGGGGAAAACUCCUCAGAGAAUUCAUAACUUAGAAAUAAAAUGAAAAUACAAAGUGAGAAGGUAAGGCAGUAGAAAGAAAAGACCUUUUACUUACUUCCCAAAAUGUUUACAGAAGGAACUCCUCUCUGAGAACAUGCUCUCGAGAGGUAUUUAUAUUAAAGCAAUAUAAAACUAAUUCUUACACUGAUAUUUGGUCUUUUUACUAACUUAAAAACUAAGGAAUCAUGUAAUUGGUGGUUUACAAGGAGUAUUUUGGGAUUUAGACAACAAAAAAUCUAAUGGAAAAUAUCUCCCAAUGUCGGUAGCAAGCUUCGGGAGGCUUCAGGAGCCAUUUCGCAGGAGAAAAGUGGUGCCUGCGAAAUUUCGCAGACACCCAAGAGGGCUGCGAAAUUAUUUCGCAAGACCAAGCUAUCUUCACCAGGCUGCAAAGUUGGCUUCCAUCUUGAAGUUUCCAGCUCCCUUCUCGCGGCAUGGUUCGUGCAUCGUCAGAAGGAGAAACACCUUACUGUACAAAAGUGUUGCGAAAUUCUCGCAACAAAGUGCUGAUUCCGCAACACUUUAGAGUGACUGGCUUGUAAUGGCUGCAACUUCUUCGUUUCAACUCCAAAUUGCACACCGUUUGAAGCAUUGGAUUGUUGACUUCCUGAGCUUUGAAAUGGUAUAUAGCUUGCAUCAUUUGGACUUCAGAAAGUGCUCCAAAAGUGGCUGCUACGACUGUCAUCAAGAAUAUGCUCCAUGACUGAUCCUCUUUGCUUUUUCUCCUUGCAAUCCGGAUUCACUCUUGGCAAUUGAAUUCUAAGCUUUGCCCAAGAUUCCUCAUAGUUCUCCUCAUUCUUGACUUGCUUUGGUGAUCAAAAUACUAACAAAAACACCAAAACUUGCACAAAGUGAUCAAAAUUGCUUUAAAGGAUCCUUAACAUGCCAAUUGAGUUAAAAGGCCUAAACUACUACUCAAAAGUGUUAAAAAGGAUUAAUUAAAGGCUAUCAAAUAGCACUUUUUGAGUAGUAAUCAACUGGCAUAGAUUAAGAAAGAGUUUUUAAAGGCCCCUGGGGCUAAGGCUAGGCUCAAGGAAAAUGCCUCAAGGCAUAACCAAUAGGCUCAAGCGAACAAAAGGCUCAUAACCCAACGUGUAGGGACAGUGUUAGACAUUCACCUCAACACACUAAAAAAAGACUUCUCUUUGAAAUAUUCUUUCCAAGUCCCAACCAAAUAUAAUUCUUGAUGAAUAGAUGGGCUUAAUACCAUUUCUCAUCUUUUCUUUUUCUUUCUUUUAAUUGCUUUGUGGGCUUGAAAUUCCUAAAACUUCACUUCAAUGAUUUAUUUUUAACAUUAGAUUUAUUCCUAAAUAUUGAAGUAACACCCACCAAAAAUAAGUUAUGUUUGGAUUUGAUCAAAUCAAAAUAUGAAAUUUUGGCAUUUCCAUGAAAAGAUUAAGUUGUAAUGCUGUCCAAGUCAAUUCUCACCAAUCUGGUCCAUGAAGACUAAAAUUUCUGAAGAAAGCACUAAUACUGCAUUUGAAGAGGACUCAUCCAAGCUUCCCUUGAGCAACAUUUCUAGUGAGACCUUUCCAAAUUAUUUAAUCCUUCUAAAAUUCCUUUAAAGACAGUCUAAAUUAAUCACAAAAUAAAUUAAAACUAGAUACAACUAUAAAUGUAUCCAGAACCAAAAAUAUUUUUGGUUCUAAUAAUAAUUAGUUGGGUCUUGAUUUAAAUUGAGUUUCCAAAGAUGAAAGUGAGCCAAAUUAAGCUUUUAUUGAUAGAAUUGCUAAAGUGCACAUCAAUUAAUCGAGUAGUUUGAUCUCAGUCUUUCUUUGAAAAGUUAUAUUUCACAAGAAACAUACUUGAUACAGCCCCAUCCAAGCUCAAGUUCAUAUCUUCUCACUAAUUUGAGAUUGAGGAUUUACUUCUUAGAGAUAUUCCCUGAGAUUUUAAGAGAAAAUUCUUAAUUAAGAUUAUUCCUUUAUCAAGAACCUGUUCAUGCAAUGAAGUCCUAUUCAAUUCCUUCAAUAGAAGUGUAGGUCAAUUGUUCAAUCAAUGUUGAUGAGAUUUUGCUUCUAUUAAGUGGUAUAGAAGGCACUACUCUAGUAGGUAGCAACAAGACUAGUAGUACCAAUAACAGGCAACAUCAAUAGCUGAAACUUGCUUCCAGGAAGGCAGGUAAGUCUGAGUUAGAUGUCCUCCUUCUCCCAACAUAAGCAUUUUUGCAAAGUUCACCAGCCCACAGACAAAACAACACUUGCAUAUAACAAUCAAGCUUUAACAGGGAGCAGGACCAGAGUAUAAAACCUAAUUCAAAAGAAUGAGGGCUUGCUUUCUCAAUUACAUCUGUCAGUGAUGAUUCCUGUAUCUCUUGCUUACUGUGAUUGGACUCUGAUAGCUUAGAAAUGAUAGAUAGCUAUUUCUUUCCUGAUCACUUAGACGACCUACCUAUUUCUCUCCUAAUCCAUCACUUGCUCGUCCCUCUCUCAUGAAAGAUUGUCUCUCCCCUCCAGGAGGUUUUUACUCAUACGACUAUGACCAGUCGCUAAGAUGAUUCCCAUUCAAUCCUUUUCAUUCAACAGUCUAUUAAUACUGUCUUAUUUUGUUUCAAAUUCCUUUCUUUCCACUAGUUCUUACACAAGGUGAUUUGCAGGAAGUAAACAACCUUUCAAAAUCCACUCCUGAAUUCAAGUCCUUCGGUACUGGGAUUGAAGUGAAGUUCUUCCAAGUUGCCAUUUGCCCCAAUCCUUUCUUCCAACUUAGAAGUACCAACUGUAAAUAGCUUUAGCAUCUCUUGACAAGAAAACGUCUUUAAAAAUGUGGACGGAAGGUGCUCAACACCCCAGUAGUUGAAUGGAAUCACCUUGUGUUCCUAUUCUAAUCCUAAUAUAACCUUUUGCCAUUUUUUGUUAUGUAAUGAUUGGAAGUUGUCAUGAGUCAAGCAAUUUAUAUAGUAGAGUCAUGUCCUAAUUCUUUAAAAGAAUCAAAUCCAGGACUCAUGCACACAAGUCAACUCAGCCAAGCUUAAAAUCAGAAUUAUAAAGUCUAUUCCAUGGAUACUUUUUCACCACUUAACCCUAUCUAUUGGCUCCAAUGAUAAGCUCACAUUGUGAUAGGUAUAAUAGUAUUUGAAUCCUUACUUCUAAGGAUAGAUGAUGGCUUACUUCUAAAUCCAUCAGACUUACAUCUUCAAGUGUCUCAGUUUGUUAAACAAUGUACUUCAUCUUUUCCUUCUAGUAACAGCUAACAAUGGCAUAAGUACAUCAUUUCAAUGUAUCAUUAACCAACUAAUAUGUGAUUUUAGCAUUAUUUUGCACUUGUAGAUGAUACUACCAGGUGGACAAGACUAUUGAUAAGAAAUGCGCCUGAUUUUUUAUUUUUAUUUUUUUUGUUGGUUAAUCAGAAAAAACUUCAUUGAAAUGAAUUAGAAAUAGAAAGUAAAACAAAAGAUAAGAAAUCAUCCCAGAACUUAGAAGAUCUUAUCAAAACAAAAAAGAUAAUAUACAGUUUAACCAAGAAAACCAACAUGAUUUAUUUUCCAAUUUCAGUGCCAUUUAUGUCAUGUUUUAUAUACAAAUUAAUGAAGAAAAUAUGACUUCUCUAUAAACUAAAAAGGAAAAAUGCAAUAUAGAUAUAUGUUUUGUUCCCACAGUUCCAAAAGUAAAUUGGGAUAGUACAUUCCAUUAGUGGACUUAAAAGUCAAAAAUGAUAAUGUUAUCAAAGUCUUGUCUACAACACCUCAAUCAUUGCAAAAUUAUCAAACUCAAAAUAUAUGAACUGAGAAUAAGCAAGGACAGGAUUUAAGAAAUGGUGAUGGGAAAUCAAUCCUAGUCCAUGACUGGAGAAUAGAUUUCUAGGCAGCCAAUAACCCUUAAUGGGUUAUGCUCACUAGUGAAGAGAAUGAUAAUGAACAUUAAACAUGUAUGAUCAUUGGGAAAUCAAUCCUUGUUGCAAAUGUCAUGGAUGAUUCUCUCAAUCUCAAUUGCUUGAGCCUAGCCUAGGCAGGCUAUGCUCGUUCCAACAGAGAGAAAACUGUGAGCAAGUAGGGUGGUACUGAUGAAUUCAGGGACACGACAAAGUUUCAGAAUUUUCACUAGGUUUUAUAUAGCACUUAAUCCAAUUUUUGGUAGAAUGUUGACAUAAAAGUAAUUCAUUUACUAAUAGUUGUAUAGUUUGAGAAAAGUAAAGGAAGAGAAUUGGUGUGGAAUUGAGAGGAGGAAGAAGACAGUUUGAAGUAGAAUCAUAAUCAUUCAAGAUUUUGAUUUGAGCUAGUCAAAAGCAAGGUGGUCGGAGAGAUUACAGAGAGGAGUUGAGGCUUCUCAAAAUGGGUCAGAUUUGGCAAGAAGAGUUUGUCAAUUAUUGGUGGGGUGGAGGCCUGCUGUCUAAAAGAGGACCUGAGGCCUUUUAGGAAGAGCUGGAUAGAGGAUGGCAAGAAUUAUCAGUUAGAGUUGCAGAGUAAUGUUCCUAUUUUGUUUUGUGUGCUCAAUGGAGGCAAAAAGGUCUUCCCUAGUUUUCCUAGAAGGUAAGGGUAACUUCUCAAACCAAACCCUGUUCUUGCCUUCACUAAAGGCAUGGGGGUUAGGUUUAACUUGUGACUGCAAGAGAGCCUUCAUUUAGCAUUGCUAGGAUGAUCUCUCAUAUUGUUGAAGUUUGAAAAGGUCACCAAAGCAAACAAGGUUUUUUGGGAGGGGAGAAUUUUUAAGAAAAAGAGGUUGUUUGACAAGUGCAUCCCUAAGGUGGGUUGUUUAAGAGGAGUCCAUGCAGAGGAAGCUUGGGUGAGAAUUGUCGAGCUGCUGAUUUUCUUGUGGGAUAGGGAGUUUUUUAAGUAAUUGGGAUAUAUAUAUGGGUGUUUCAAGGCAAUAAAUGAAGACACCAUUUUUUUUUAAUGAGAAACAACAAUGUAGUAUAUUAAAUAAAGAUUUAAAAAAUAGAAAAGAAGGAUAAGAAAUCCUCCCAAAAACAAAGAACUAAACAAAUGGAACCUCCAAAUUACUAAGUAAACCUAUACACCAUAUGGAAAGUACACAAAACCACCUCUCCUUGCUAGCUUGCAUCUUUGGACCAACACACUGACAACCAAUCAUGUAGAACCACAUUGAGGGAAUUCCCUUAAAAGUUAUGGUGCAAGAGGCCCAAAAGGAAGCAAGGAAAUGAAUGGUUUCCAAAAGAACCUCUGAAGUACUUGCUUAGCUUAAAAAAUUCUAACAUUUCUUUCCUGUUGCACAACCUAUAUCAAAGCCAAACAAGUAGUUUGCCACAAUACCAAGCCUUUAUUGGAUCUCACAAUCCCUUGUAUGCAAUGGUCAUCAUGUUAAAAAUACUCUUAAGAGAAAUCCAGCCUAACUUAGUCAAUCUAAAUAAUUUAUGCCAAUAAAUGAAGACAUGAUGAAGCGGCGUAAUUUGCAAAUGGUGAGAGUUUUGAUUAAAACAGAUGGGAGAAGGUUACCAAAAAGCUGUAGGUUGUGGUGUCUAUCUUGUUUUGUCAUUCAUUUGUGGUGAGAGGUCCCACCAUGGCUUUCUUAGGUUAAACCAACGCCGCUUAAAAGGAGGCAAGAGGUUUGGGUAUGUCAUGCAUUGUGGAGAGCAUGGAGGUAAGAGGGUCAACACAUUCUUUUGAUGUGGGCCUCCCAAUAACAAACAAGCCCUCUACCAUUCAUAAAAGCUUGCUAACACAAGUACUAGCCAUUGUGAAAAGGUGUUGCUUCAAUAGUCAAUUGCGUAACAUGAGGAGUAAGGGUGGUUGCCAUCACACAAUAGAGAAGCUGGCUAAUGUAAAGGCAACUUUGUUGAGACCUAUUCCAAUCAACAAAGCUCUUAUGCUAGAAGCGUCAUGCUUUCCAAGUAUGGCUCCUCCCUCUCCUUCCUUUUGAUGGUACAAGGUCUCUCUUCCUUCUCUUCUAUCUAAAGGAAAGCAUUUAGAAGAAAGGGUGGAGUAAGCAACUUAGAGUGCACUUCGUUAAACCCGAUGGAGAGGAAAAUGGGACUCUACACAUGAUUUUGAUUGGUGGCACAUCAAUGGAGUCCAUUGAAAACAGCAUGAGAACCGUUAGUGAUGUGGGAGCAAAAGAGUUGGAAGUGGGGACUAUUGCAAUAAAGGAAUCCUUCCCCUUGUUGUUUUGAAAAGGAUUUCCACGCUUCGUGGGAUGCUUCAAUAAGCUCGCAUCUUUCAGCAAGUUUGUGGGAAUGCCAAUUGGUGGAUUUGAAGGAGAAAUCUUGGCUACUUAAGGAGGAUAAAGCUUAUGAAAAUGGGCAAAGUCUCCAAAAUUGGGUUAAAAAGGAAAUAUAUCUAUGGAUCUUGAUUUGAGAUGGAGCUUUGCAAGCUGAAGUGCUUCGUCAACCAUAGUUUUGCUUUAGGCAAAGUGAGGAGUGGGAAGAACAAUUAGGAAUUGAUCAAGGUUUGAUGAUCAAGCUUCGCAUUCUUUCUUGGAAUGUUAGAAGGGUUAAAUGAGGUUAAAAAUGGAAAUCAUUGAUUGAAUCACAUAUGAAAAAACCUUGUGUGUUUACAAGAAACCAAGGUCUAUUAAAUGACGGUACAAAUUUAGAGCAGUUUGGGUAUGGGCAAAUUCUUGGAACGGAGUGUUUUGUGGAAGCUAGAAGUCAGGUAAGGGAGACUUUAGUCUUUUAGGGCAAUAAGGUGUUGGAGUUAAUUGAUAUGAAGUGGGGUGCAUCCAAUCUCUUAUUGAUUCAAAAACUAUGAGGACAACUUUGUCUAGAUGUUUUUAAGAAUGCAUGGGUUAGCCCAAAAAGGGGGGAGAGAGGAAUUUUGGGUGAAAAUGGUUGAUGUAAUAUGGUUUUGGAAUGACCUUCAUGUAUUAGAGGAGACUUCAAUGUGAUAAGAUUCCUUGAGGUAAUGAGUAAAUGUUUAAGAUGCUCAACAACAAUGUGGCACUUUUCAAAGAUCACAAAGGAACUUCAUUUGAGGGACAUCUCUCUAGUUGGUGGUUCUAUAACAUGGACUAAAGGGUUAAAUAAUUGAUCCUCACCAAGGCUAGAUCAAUUCCUUGUUUCUAGAGAAAGAGGAACCACUUCAGUAGAUUAAUUCGAGUGUCCUCCCAAGACUGAUUUCCAACCUCACUCUCCCAUUUUAUUAAAUGGAGGAGGGAUAAGAAAUGGCAAAACACUCUUCAAGUUUGAAAAUAUGCGGCUGAAAGUGUAAGGGUUCAAAGACCUUGUUAGAAAUUGGUGGGUAGGAUGCAAUAUUAGCGGUUAAUAUAGCCACAUCUUAGCAUUCAAGCUAAAAGCAUUAAAACAUGAUCUAAAAUUAUGGAAUCGAGAUGUAUUUGAGCAUGUCACUUUCCAUAAAGUUACAACUUUAAAUUAGAUUAAUUUCUAGGAUGCUAAGGAAGUCUUUCUUUCAACCGAGGAGGUCGAAGCUAGGAGGACGGUAGUGGAUAAGUUUAGAAAGUGGGCAACAAUGGAAGAAGUCUUUUGGAGGAAAAAAUCAAAAGAUAUAUGACUAAAAAUGGAGAUAGAAAUACAGGAUUCCUUCAUAAAAUGGCUAAUGCUCAUUGAAGAAGAAAAUAUUUGACUAAAACUAGGGUCAAUGUAGAAAUGUUAUUAGAAGAUGUAGACAUAAAGAAAAGAACGACAAGUGCUUUAUAUAGUCUUCUUUUCGAGUUUGGAGCAUAAAGGAUGAAUCUCAAUGGGAUGUUUAAAAGUUUGAGUAUAGAAGAUUUAAAGUCCUUAGAGAAUUCAUUUUUUAAGGUGAAGGUCUAUUCAACACUCUUAGUUUGUAUAGCGAUAAAGCCCCUAGGGCUUUUUGGCAUUUUUGGGGGACUUUGUGAAAAAAUGAGGUGAUGAGAUUUUUUGCAUAGUUUUUUAAGUUAGGCUCUUUUAAAAGAAGCCUAAAUGCCACUUUUAUGGUGUUAGUCCCAAAAUGAAGGGGGUACAAAAGAUUUAAAAGACAUAGAUUAGUUAGGUGGAUGUGGGUGUGUGUGGGGGGGGGGGGGGGGGGGGGGGGUAUGUGUGUUUGCAUGAUGGGAAAAGAGGUUUCAACUUCUCAACAUGAAUGUGUAAAAGGUAGACAAAUCUUAGAUGUGGUCUACUAGAGUGCAUGAUACGCAUUAUAGGCUCAAAUCCUACAAGUUUAAGCUUUUAGAAAAAUUGGUUGUUCAACAUGGUAUUAGAGUCUCACCUAGCAAAAGGUCAUCUAUUUGAACAGCACUGCAUGUUUAUUUCCUCAAUUUAUUAAAAGCCUAAAAGAGGUUACUCUAUUGCCCACAUAUAAUCCCAAGGAUGAUUACACAUGAAGGAGAUGAAGAUUUCAUAAAUAGACUGCAAUAUAGAAGAAAAAUGACUUAUCAAAAGGAGGAAAGCUAACGUUGAUUAAAAAAAAAAAACUUUUCCUAGCCUACAAAGGGAUUUUGUUUAGGGAGAAGUGCUUUGAUGAAAAGCCAACGAAUUGGUUGAAUAGUUUGCACAGACGAGGGAGGGGUGCUUAGGUUUUGUUUAUUUUAAUAGAUAAAAAGCAAAUUAUAUUGAAAAAUGCUUGGAAAAGGCACACCAAGUACACAUGAAGUAUACAAAAUGCGCUAAAAGCAAGCAAAGGGAAAAUAGAAACAAACCAAAACCCAAUACAAAAAUAACACCCUAUAGUUCUAGAAAAACUGAUGGCACUCAUACACAUUGUUUUAAAAACCAGACCGGACCGGCCGGUCCAACCACUCAAACCGUUGACUGGUGUACUUUCCAGUUCAGUCCAUCACAAUGAACCGUUUUGUAGUCAACUUGACAUUAAACCGUUCAAACCGAUGGUCAAACCACUGAAUCGGACAAACCGUCCGAUUUUUUCCAAACCGAUCAGACCUUAAUUGUUAUAAAUAUUUGCUAACUAUUAAGAGGCCCAUUAUCCAUCGGGCCCAUUUCCAUGCCCAAUACUUAUAAAACUAAAACUAAUUAUAAGCUUAUAUUUGGUCCAGGCCACUAGAGCCCAAUCCAAUGGCAAGAAAGCUUAUAAAACUUAUAUUUGGGCCAUAUCUCCAAGCCUAAUUUGCUGGCAUGUUUGGCUUGGAUGUUGAAGGUAUUUAUAGAGCACUUAGAGCACAUAGAAUUCAUGUGCUUCCGAUGUGGGACUGGGACUAAUUAGAAGCAAAAUAUUACUUCUUGGAGGGCUAGACGGAUCUCAAAGUUUGAAGCCUUUUAACCAUUGAGCAUUGCACCAUAUUUAUUAAAUGGUGUUGUUAAAAAAUAUAUAUAAUAAGAAUCUAAGAUUAAUGUUUUUAUUUCAAAUUUUUAUCAUAUAAAAUCUUUAAAGAAAUGUAAAUGUUUAAAUUCCUAUUAAUUUUUAUAACAAUAAUUAUAAAAAAUAAUAUAAAUUAAUUAAUAGAAUAAUUUUAAAACAAUAAAAUACAAAGAUAAAAAGAUAAAAUUAAUUAUUAUAAAUUUUUUUCAUCUUAAAUAUAUCUUCAUUCUUAAAUAUUACAUAUUCUAUUUAAUAAAAUUUAAAAUAUUAAACUUCAUCAUUUAAUUUAAUAUACCAAAUAUAAAAAUCAAACAUUAUUAAAAUUUAUAAUUUUAUAUAUUUUUAAUUUUUUAUAAUUAUUUUUAAUUUUAUAUAAUAUACAAAUGAUAUAUUUAUUACAUCAUCAAUUCAAUCGCAAUACAACCGUCGAUCCGACCAGUGAACUGUGAACCGGUAAUUUUUCCAGUUCGAUAACUGGUCCGGUUGUGAAAACAUUGCUCAUACAUCCAACUUGCAGCCAACCAAAUAUGCUAACUCUUGACUGAAUAUAGCCUACAUCACUCCUCCCUAAUCUUGUAGCCACUCUUCACAACUCUAACCUAAACACUCAAAAUCCACUUUCCACCCACUCUUCUAACUCCACCCUUUUCCGCUAAAUUGAUUGUAAUUAACCGAGCUCUCUAAGUUCCAAAGCUGCCUAUCAAAACGAGAUAUAGACAAAGGUCUCCUCUUAAUACUUGAGACCCCAUUGUAUGACCAUUUCUAGCUUCGAACUUCCUUAAUAGAGAGACAACUUCCUUUUGAAAACUAUCCAUAGGCGAUCCCAAAGACUUGCUGAAGGAGAUGAAAUUCUUGAAAGAGGAGUCCAGCAUGUUCUUACUGGGGUUAUCUUUUCCUAGAGCCCCCACCUCACUACACAAAUCAAUGACCACACACUCGACAUCGUUGUAAGAAUUUUUUGAAACAUCCACUACCAGAUCCUCAUUGGAGAACAUCCACAAAGGUCCAUAACCACCUCCCUUGCUUUCUAAAGAAAACCCCUCGUCUUGUUCCUUCCAUAGAAUUACGCUCUUAGCCAAAUCCAUUAGCACACCCUCAUCUUUGAAAAUAGAAGAAGAAAAAGGAGAAAUCCCACCCCUCAACAACAAAACAAAAGACGAGGCCUUACCUGUGAAACCUUCCGCUUCACAGAAGAGAGCAACAUCAGCAUAUGGCACUUGUUCAUCAGCGAUCUGUGUUGCUGCCAAGAAGCAAAGGUUUAAG
Molecule: long non-coding RNA, 17316 nt
Filed under: Vitis vinifera (wine grape)
Lineage: Eukaryota; Viridiplantae; Streptophyta; Magnoliopsida; Vitales; Vitaceae
Description: long non-coding RNA (VVIN_LNC004555)
Source: RNAcentral